UUAUGACGUCACUAAAUGUUUACGUUUAAAAAUCGCAUUUCUAUUAUUACGGUACGUUUGUAUUAAAGGUACCGUGCUAAAAGGAUUUCUGAAAUAUCCAGACAAAGCAGCACAAACCACGGUAUUUGACAUACCCCUCAUGGGGCACAGGCUGGGACGGUAGAAAACCCCAGAGAAUGGGUUACGUGAGGGGAUUCAAUCCUUGUACAGAAACACCCCGAGCGAGCCUCUACCAACUGAGGACUGACACUUUUGAGCGGUAGAAGAUUCAGUGUUUUCUUCGAACCAUUCAAGAUUGAAGUCAAUAUGUCGUUCAGCGUACCAAUAUCAAACCCAACUGAGGUUCAAGCACGCUGUCCUGAGCAUCUCAGCUAUCUGGAAUGUCUGUCCAGUUCGAUUCCAAAAGUACCUCACUGCCAAAGGACAAAUUGCCCAUAAUUGGAAUAUCAUUGCAACCGGAAGUAUGCAGUUGUGCGCUUUAAUCAUAUGGUGGUUACAAAAUCAAAAGUUGUCACCUUGGGCGAGGAUGAUCCAUAUAUUGGAAUCUCGUCCUGACAAUGUUGUUUACUCAAAAUGGAUGUCGUCGCAUUUGCUGUCGGAAAUAUAUUGCAGAUGAGAGAGCAUGAUUGCACGAGGUCAUAGCUUUGUCACAAUCUGGUGUCGUCUCUUCAGUCUGUUUAUCUAACAGUUCCUCUGUCUGUCUCUGUGUGUCUGCCUGUCUGUUUGUUUGUCUCUGUCUGUAUAUAUCUCACACACGUAACCACACGCAUAGGCUUUCUACCAGGUUAUGGUUUUAAAAUUGGACACUGCAUUUCAUGCACGUUGACAGUUUUUAAACAGCAGCUCUGUUACAACAAUGUAUCAACAAAUGAAAACAAAAUGUGUUCAUUAA
Gigantopelta aegis is the source of this 892-nucleotide long non-coding RNA. RefSeq lists it as uncharacterized. The record is from RefSeq and is a predicted model, not a curated record. The transcript has 5 exons. NCBI's taxonomy places the organism in Eukaryota, Metazoa, Mollusca, Gastropoda, Neomphalida, Peltospiridae.